This 783-nucleotide long non-coding RNA is filed under the name Phoenix dactylifera (date palm). Its description in RNAcentral is "long non-coding RNA (PDAC_LNC001179)". The record is from RNAcentral. Lineage: Eukaryota; Viridiplantae; Streptophyta; Magnoliopsida; Arecales; Arecaceae.
ACCAAACAACAAGAAGGAUUCUCUGGAGGUUCCUCUGGCAUAGAGCUGAAGAGCUCCUUCCCUGGCCCGACAACAGCUGCAUCACUUGAGCAUAAACCUGCAAAUCUAGCUGAAGAAUCAUCCGACGGAUCUAUAACCAUCAAGUUGGUGAGCCAAUCACGCAUCCAGAAAAGCAAUAUGCCUGAUGAGCACAAAUUUUCAGCAGAAGGGUUAUAUGAAGAACCUGUAAGGAUCAAGUCUGAUGCAUCAAACACCCAGAAGGGUAUUGUGUCUGCUGAGCAUACGCCUGUCGCACAGGUAGAAGAACCUUAUGUGGAAUGUGGCAGCACAAAGCUUGUGGUUUCAUUGCCAACUAGCAUUCUAGCAGAAGAAUCAUCAGAAGAGCCUGAAAUCAUAACGUUGUCUUUCCAGGAAGGCAUUGCAGCUGAAGAGCAUGUACCAACCGAACAAGCAGAAGGAUCAUCCAUUCAGAAAAGCAUUAUUUCUGCUGAGUAUACAUCAGCUGAUCAGGCAGAAGGAUUAUCUGAGGAACAAAACCAGGUGAACACUUUGAAUGCAGGGGAUAGGAAAAAGAGAGAGGUGAGUAAGCAGAGGACUUCACAAAAGAAGGCUGAGAUCUCUGUUAGAGCUAAAGUCAUCAAGCAGAAAACAAGUGAUGCAUCUAUGGAGAAGAAGAGUUCAUCACCUAUCAUGAAAACCAUCACAUCUGUGAAGCCAACAAGUACCGGGCAGAAGAUUCCAUCAUCUGUUAAUAAGGCUAUUGCACCUUUGGCAUGCUGUAUU